Molecule: ribosomal RNA, 253 nt
Filed under: uncultured bacterium
Lineage: Bacteria
Description: partial 16S ribosomal RNA
Rfam family: Bacterial small subunit ribosomal RNA
Source: RNAcentral
UACAGAGGGUGCAAGCGUUGCUCGGAUUUACUGGGCGUAAAGCGUACGCAGACGGUCACGCAGGUCGGAUGUGAAAGCCCCGGGCUCAACCCGGGAACUGCAUUCGAAACCAUGUGACUUGAGGAUGGUAGAGGAGAGCGGAAUUCCCGGUGUAGAGGUGAAAUUCGUAGAUAUCGGGAGGAACACCAGUGGCGAAAGCGGCUCUCUGGGCCAUUUCUGACGUUCAGGUACGAAAGCGUGGGGAGCAAACAGG